CAGCCGCCGCGGUAAUACGGAGGGGGCUAGCGUUGUUCGGAAUUACUGGGCGUAAAGCGCACGUAGGCGGCUUGGUAAGUUAGAGGUGAAAGCCCGGAGCUCAACUCCGGAAUUGCCUUUAAGACUGCUGGGCUAGUAGGUGAGAGAGGUAAGUGGAAUUCCGGGUGUAGAGGUGAAAUUCGUAGAUAUUCGGAAGAACACCAGUGGCGAAGGCGGCUUACUGGCUCAUUCUAGACGCUGAGGUGCGAAAGCGUGGGGAGCAAACAGGAUUAGAUACCCCUGUAGUCCCUGUCUCUUAUAC
This 301-nucleotide ribosomal RNA is filed under the name uncultured bacterium. RNAcentral describes it as "partial 16S ribosomal RNA". It matches the Rfam family "Bacterial small subunit ribosomal RNA", at positions 509 to 807 of the family's 1533-position model. The record is from RNAcentral.